This 489-nucleotide ribosomal RNA is filed under the name uncultured bacterium. RNAcentral describes it as "partial 16S ribosomal RNA". It matches the Rfam family "Bacterial small subunit ribosomal RNA", at positions 30 to 507 of the family's 1533-position model. The record is from RNAcentral.
UUGAACGCUGUCGGCAUGCUUUACACAUGCAAGUCGGACGGCAGCACAGAGAAGCUUGCUUCUUGGGUGGCGAGUGGCGAACGGGUGAGUAAUAUAUCGGAACGUACCGAGUAAUGGGGGAUAACUAAUCGAAAGAUUAGCUAAUACCGCAUAUUCUCUGAGGAGGAAAGCAGGGGACCUUCGGGCCUUGCGUUAUUCGAGCGGCCGAUAUCUGAUUAGCUAGUUGGUGGGGUAAAGGCCUACCAAGGCGACGAUCAGUAGCGGGUCUGAGAGGAUGAUCCGCCACACUGGGACUGAGACACGGCCCAGACUCCUACGGGAGGCAGCAGUGGGGAAUUUUGGACAAUGGGCGCAAGCCUGAUCCAGCCAUGCCGCGUGUCUGAAGAAGGCCUUCGGGUUGUAAAGGACUUUUGUCAGGGAAGAAAAGGCUGUUGCUAAUAUCAAUAGCUGAUGACGGUACCUGAAGAAUAAGCACCGGCUAACUACGUG